CGUAUUCGGGGGUUAUAUUCAGAGGUCAUAUUCAACAGCGUCUCAUCGACGCUAUCGUCAAUCGUUAUGUUCAAAAUUGGUGAAAGUGUCUCAUUGGUGCUUUUCUCGUCGCGGUCACAUGACUCGUAUUACUGCGCGAUACGCAGUAUUGCGCCGCCAUUUGUAAUGGCCUUAUGUUUACGCGGGAAUAACAACGGUCGAGUGAUGCAUGCUCAGCACAGUUCAUUAUGAUUGAUCAGAGACAUUUGGUAUACGAUUGAACGUUUAAACAACAGUGUUUUGCGUAAUUGUUGUACAUACAAGAUGUGCUUUGAUCGAGUGUGCAGGUUAUAUGAGUCGUUUCGUACGGUGUCGAUUACUCACGAUGUAGAGGUUAUGAAUCGUGAAACUAAACGACCGAUGCAUAUUUUGCUUUUGCGAAUGUGCAAAUGCGAACGAAAUUUACGUUAAAGAUCUUUGGCUGCGGAUUUGAUGCAGGUUGGGAUCUUCACAAACUUACAAAUUAGACUAAUGCCUCAGGUUUUGUUAUAAAAAUAUUUUAAUAUACAAAUCCUGUAUAUUAAAACUUUUGAAAGCUUAAAAAAAAGCUUGAUUAUAGCACAUCAGUGAUUAAGUCAAUGAUCAAAGGGAUACGAUGGGAAAACAAUUAUAUAAUUCAGGAUAUUGAAGCAAACUAUCAUUAGCAUUUAAAAGCAGUCUCGAACAAUGCUGUUUAAACAACAAGAUAGUAUUACAAACACAUACAGUUGUUAGUUAGGAGGCUGCGAUACAGAUAGAAAAAUUUGAAAACAGAAUCUUUGCAGUAAACUUUCUUUACAUCUCGGAAAUAACUUCACAUAAUCUCAGAAUAAAGAGAUCGAGGACACACGACAUAUACCGCAAGGAAGCCUUGGAGCCAUUGGAUGAUAAAGGAUAAACUACGAAUAUUCCUUGAAAUAAAAGUCUAACAACGAGAGGAAUUCAAUAUCUAUCGUCGCCGAUUUAUAACAAAAUAAACGAACCGCAGCCGGUUCGUCGCGUCGCGCGUUUUUUUCCGGGAGUGCCGUUUAAGUUAUCGGACUAAUAGACUUUUUUUUUCUAUAACUCCCAUUUGAUAAACUCCUAGUUCGAGGGCCGGGAAUCGCACCCCCGCUGCUUGGCAGUGGAUAUCUUCUCUCUGGGGCGUUGCGUAUGGUGGCUAAGAAAGACGGCGCACCGCGACGUUCCAUGCCGAGUGCCCGUGCACGAAGUAAUGCCGGGCCGCGUUAUAGCAUGUUUCCCCUGUGUGCAUGUUGCGCGGUUGUCUGGUUGUGUGAGGUUUACACGCUCUGUCUUCGGCGAUCGGUUCGGUCCUAAGUGGUAAGAGUUCGGAUCAGUUGCCUUGGAUUCGCACGUUUCUCUUGCUCUCAUCCACCUAAGGCUUUCUUAGAUCCUUGAUACCCUUUUUGGAUUCUUUGGAUCUGGGGUUUGAGCUAGUGAAUCACAUUUAAUCUGACUUGGUCAGAACUUGGCCUUGUAGGUUAAGCUUGUGACGAGAGGCUGGCUCUCAUUUCCUGAUUCGUCUAAAAUGCUAGACGUCGGCAAUGAGUACCUUCUUCUCUCGUCCUGCCCGAGUGUCUUGUCGACGCCGCUUGGAUAUAAGAUCCAGUGGGACUGAUUAAGAUGAUCCGUUGGCUGGGCCUAUGAACGAGUCAAUUUUAGACGUAAUUUUUGUGAGACAAGAGGCGUAGGAAUUCAAUACCAUUGAUUUCGUUUUCUUCCGCGCGGGGCUUACCCUCUUUCGGGGGGCAGGUACGCGUGCGUCCUACUCGUCGACUCGGGGUGCUGAAUCCACGGGAAUCCCUCUGAAUGGGAACUCAUAUCAUGGGUUUUAUAAACCCGAAGUGCCGCAGUAUUGCGCGAAAAACUUUAUAAAUAAUUAGUCCACGCGCGCAAAUUUAGUAUAUUAUUCGCGAGUGUUUCGCGUGUGCAAUGAAAGGAAAAGGCUUAACUACCUGGAGGACUGAGAGGAGGAGGAGGCCUGGGAGGCAUCGGGCGUCGGCGUAUCAACCUUUCAAUUAACAUCAUGGGAUCUGCGAGGAGGAGGAGACAUCAGGCGAGGUGGAGCAACCUUGAGGAAGAAGAUGCAUCGAGACGUGCACGAAGCUACUCCAGUUCUCUGAUUACGGAUUUCUGGCAGAGCAGCAAAGUUCUUGACGCAACGACGGCUGAGAGGAGAACGGCGGAACAACGGAUGGGCAUCCAAAGGCGGGAGGUUGGACGAGCCUUGGAGAUAGAUGGCAGACUUUCGUGGUGCGCGCCCACAUAGCAGCAAUGUAAGUCAUGCUUCUUUAUGGGGCGGCCCGUGACCCCGCUACUUGUAAACCGACUAAAGAUUCAGAAAUAGCUGCGGCACGGUUACGAGCUCCCCGUCCGCGUUCUCUUCUCUGCCCCCCUAUCAUCGCUUUAUCCUUACGGCACGCUCUCGCGUAUACUCGUAUAUACUCGCGUUCUCGAUCAUCCUCAUUGU
Molecule: long non-coding RNA, 2488 nt
Organism: Solenopsis invicta (red fire ant)
Lineage: Eukaryota; Metazoa; Arthropoda; Insecta; Hymenoptera; Formicidae
Exons: 9
Source: RefSeq, a predicted model, not a curated record